Molecule: ribosomal RNA, 253 nt
Filed under: uncultured bacterium
Lineage: Bacteria
Description: partial 16S ribosomal RNA
Rfam family: Bacterial small subunit ribosomal RNA
Source: RNAcentral
UACGUAGGGGGCCAGCGUUGCUCGGAAUUACUGGGCGUAAAGGGUUCGUAGGCGGUGCGGUAAGUUGGGAGUGAAAUCUCUGGGCUUAACCCAGAGGCUGCUUUCAAAACUUCCGUGCUCGAGUGCGAGAGAGGUCAGUGGAAUUGCAGGUGUAGCGGUGAAAUGCGUAGAUAUCUGCAGGAACACCCGUGGCGAAGGCGGCUGACUGGAUCGCAACUGACGCUGAGGAACGAAAGCUAGGGGAGCAAACAGG